This 881-nucleotide long non-coding RNA is filed under the name Bemisia tabaci. RNAcentral's name for it is "lncRNA ENSSSA2NGG006591". The record is from RNAcentral. Lineage: Eukaryota; Metazoa; Arthropoda; Insecta; Hemiptera; Aleyrodidae.
UUGUUUAUCAGCCGUACGGCGCGCUUUCUAGGUUAGGAUUUGGUUUUAUUUGAAAUUUAAUUUUUAAUUUCAUAAUCUUUCUCUCAGCGCAGCAGAAUCGAAUGAGAAACUUUGCUCAGGAGGCUUUCCGCAAUCAUCAAGCCCUCAAAAAAUGAAUCAGGAAGUAAAAGGAGUGCGCCAAAGCAAAAAAUGAACAAAACUGUCAAAGUGCCAACUCAAAAAAGUAAGACUCAACUGUCAGCCACAAAGAUGUUGAGGAGAAAAAAGUGAAGCAUCUAGAAAAACUUGUGAAGUACUACAUCAAUAGGCUAUCAUUUGACUCAGCUUUAUUUUGGGCCCAGCGUCUUCUAUCAAUAGACAAAUCUGCUGAGAGUAUCUAUCUACUAGGGAGAUGUUUAUUUCUGAAGAAACAAUAUCGUCGUGCCAUUAAUGUCAUCAGAGAGGCUGGUUUAGACAAGAAGGAAAUAAAUCCAUUAUGUUUUUACCUCGUUUGCAAGUGUUUAUAUAUGGUGGGUGACUACCCUGAAGCUCUAGAUUUACCAGUGGAGAACCACAGAAUGUUCAUCUUACAGAUGCUCCCUUCUCCUGCACUAGCAGAAGGAAAUCUAAAUGGAUGAAAAAAUAUGGCCAAAAGAAAAAUAUUGAACCUUCUCUUACUGUUUUGAAAGCUCAAAUUCACGAGAAAAUGGAAAAUAGAAUCGUUGCUGCAGAAAACUAUAAGAAAGCCUUGGAGCAAGAUAUAUUUUGCUAUGAAGCUUUUCAGCUUUAGUCAGUCAUCAUAUGAUUUCUUCUCAAGAAGGUAUAAAAUUUUAUAUUAAACUUGCUGCCCAAAAUAUCUACUCAAUAAAUAUGUUACAAACUGUUUGCUUAAUCAGUUAUAU